RNAcentral lists this unclassified non-coding RNA (260 nucleotides) under Rickettsia akari (agent of rickettsialpox). The record is from RNAcentral. Lineage: Bacteria; Pseudomonadati; Pseudomonadota; Alphaproteobacteria; Rickettsiales; Rickettsiaceae.
CUGUGGGAUUACAUAUGCGUAUAGUGUUAAUUCUAUAAACAUAUAAGUAUCAACUCACAAAGUUAUCAGGUGAGAUUAGCUUUAUCAAUGAAUAAACAUGUUGUUGCACAGCUAAUAGUGUCAUGUCGUGGCUUGACCACAGUAUCUGGAAGAAUUUCCAAUAUUUGGAUUCAUCCUUCUGUAGGAGUGGCAGGUUUGAUCAUGCAGCAAUACAUUAGCAGUAAACUGUAGUACAAAUCUAUCUUUUUAAAAGUUUGUAU